UCAGACGUGGUGUAUCGGGAACAUAGCUUCUUCUGCUUGCAUUUCGGCAGGUGUUAAUUUACAGAGGCAGUGCAGGGUUCGAAUCCCUGUGUCUGAA
Non-coding RNA from Mycena vulgaris, 97 nucleotides. Lineage: Eukaryota; Fungi; Basidiomycota; Agaricomycetes; Agaricales; Mycenaceae. The record is from the annotation of a GenBank genome assembly.